Molecule: long non-coding RNA, 632 nt
Filed under: Rattus norvegicus (Norway rat)
Lineage: Eukaryota; Metazoa; Chordata; Mammalia; Rodentia; Muridae
Description: long non-coding RNA NONRATT008428
Source: RNAcentral
UGGGAGGAUCUCCAUCCUCAGCACCAAGUGGUGAGGGAGAAAGGCUUUGACUAACGUGCUGCCACUCUCUGCAUUCUUCUCAAAAAGGAAUUUCUAAGCCAAGCUACAAAUGCAGCCAGGCUCGGAAUUCCACAGUUGAGGGCAGGGGCUGUCGUCCUCACUACAUUUUGAGAAACAUUCUUAUUUUUUUUAGGUAAAACUGGGGAUCCAGAUCUAGAGGGGGAUAAAGAAGACAAGAAGGAUAAAGUUGUGGCAGUUGAGCUAAAAAGCCAUGUUUGAGUUUUCUGUGGGGCUGAGUGGACAGGAGUAAAUGUGGUCUGACUCCUUCUAUCUAGAAGGUUGGGAGACACCCAUAGCUUCUCUCUUGCCAUGUUUAUUAAUAAAGAUGUUAGACACUUCUCCGUGAGAUAUUUCCUUGUGAAAGUAAAGACCACAACAUCAAAACAUUGGGUUGCAAAGUUGCCUACUUCACGAGAGUCACCUGCCCCGUCGUUUUUGUGCCUUGUCUGUGACGUCAAAACGCAAAUGUUUAUAUCACUGUCACUCAUGAUUAUUUUCCUAUGUCGGACAAACAAAGUGCAUUUGGUUGUAAUGUUUUAAAGUAAAUAAAGCAUUUCAUCUAAUUCUGUGAU